CGGGGGGGGGUCCUAUACUGCAGUCGAGCGAACAGAUAAGGAGCUUGCUCCUCUGACGUUAGCGGCGGACGGGUGAGUAACACGUGGGUAACCUACCUAUAAGACUGGAAUAACUCCGGGAAACCGGGGCUAAUGCCGGAUAACAUUUAAAACCGCAUGGUUCUAAGGUGAAAGAUGGUUUUGCUAUCACUUAUAGAUGGACCCGCGCCGUAUUAGCUAGUUGGUAAGGUAACGGCUUACCAAGGCAACGAUACGUAGCCGACCUGAGAGGGUGAUCGGCCACACUGGAACUGAGACACGGUCCAGACUCCUACGGGAGGCAGCAGUAGGGAAUCUUCCGCAAUGGGCGAAAGCCUGACGGAGCAACGCCGCGUGAGUGAUGAAGGUCUUCGGAUCGUAAAACUCUGUUAUUAGGGAAGAACAAAAUGUAAGUAACUGUGCACGACUUGACGGUACCUAAUCAGAAAGCCACGGCUAACUACGUGCCAGCAGCCGCGGUAAUACGUAGGUGGCAAGCGUUAUCCGGAAUUAUUGGGCGUAAAGCGCGCGUAGGCGGUUUCUUAAGUCUGAUGUGAAAGCCCACGGCUCAACCGUGGAGGGUCAUUGGAAACUGGGAAACUUGAGUGCAGAAGAGGAAAGAGGAAYUCCCUGUGAACCGGGUGAAAUGCG
RNAcentral lists this ribosomal RNA (669 nucleotides) under Staphylococcus cohnii. RNAcentral's name for it is "bacterial SSU rRNA". It matches the Rfam family "Bacterial small subunit ribosomal RNA", at positions 37 to 690 of the family's 1533-position model. The record is from RNAcentral. Lineage: Bacteria; Bacillati; Bacillota; Bacilli; Caryophanales; Staphylococcaceae.